GAAGUAAAAGUCGUAACAAGGUCUCCGUUGGUGAACCAGCGGAGGGAUCAUUACAGAGUUGCAAAACUCCCAACCCUUUGUGAAUCCUACCUGUUUAGUUGCUUCGGCAGGCGGCCCCAGGGCGGGGUCUUUUGCUUGUUUACAGGCGUCUGCCGAAGGAGUUUAAAACUCUUUAAUGCUUUCCGUGGCUCUCUGAGUUAAAAAAAAUAAGUCAAAACUUUCAACAACGGAUCUCUUGGUUCUGGCAUCGAUGAAGAACGCAGCGAAAUGCGAUAAGUAAUGUGAAUUGCAGAAUUCAGUGAAUCAUCGAAUCUUUGAACGCAUAUUGCGCCCGUUAGUAUUCUAGCGGGCAUGCCUGUUCGAGCGUCAUUUCAACCCUCAAGCCCCUGCUUGGUGUUGGGGCCCUAUAGCUGUUAUAGGCCCUGAAAAUUAGUGGCGGGCCCGCUAACACUCCGAGCGCAGUAGUUAAUUUCUCGCUUAGGACGUUUGGCGGGUUCUAGCCGUUAAACCCUUUAAUUUUCAAAUGGUUGACCUCGGAUCAGGUAGGAAUACCCGCUGAACUU
Molecule: unclassified non-coding RNA, 563 nt
Filed under: Sordariales sp. KO-groupA 2014
Lineage: Eukaryota; Fungi; Ascomycota; Sordariomycetes; Sordariales
Description: partial contains ITS1, 5.8S rRNA and ITS2
Rfam family: 5.8S ribosomal RNA (bases 216-369)
Source: RNAcentral